GGGGGUAUAGUUCAGUAGUAGAACACAAGCUUAGCAUGCUUGAAGUCCUGAGUUUGAUUACCAGCCCCCU
Molecule: transfer RNA, 70 nt
Filed under: Ictidomys tridecemlineatus (thirteen-lined ground squirrel)
Lineage: Eukaryota; Metazoa; Chordata; Mammalia; Rodentia; Sciuridae
Description: Spermophilus tridecemlineatus (thirteen-lined ground squirrel) tRNA
Rfam family: tRNA
About the family: Transfer RNA (tRNA) molecules are approximately 80 nucleotides in length. Their secondary structure includes four short double-helical elements and three loops (D, anti-codon, and T loops).
Source: Rfam by way of RNAcentral